Molecule: non-coding RNA, 100 nt
Organism: Gnomoniopsis smithogilvyi
Lineage: Eukaryota; Fungi; Ascomycota; Sordariomycetes; Diaporthales; Gnomoniaceae
Source: the annotation of a GenBank genome assembly
GCGCAAAUGGUUUAGUGGUAAAAUCCAUCGUUGCCAUUGCGAGUCUCAACCUUGAGAUUUGAAAUUCGAUGGGCCCCCGGUUCGAUUCCGGGUUUGCGCA